GUUGAGGUGGCAGAGUUCGGUAAUUGCAUAAAACUUAAGCUUUUACACCCAGAGGUUCAAAUCCUCUCCCCAACA
Molecule: transfer RNA, 75 nt
Filed under: Balaenoptera physalus (Fin whale)
Lineage: Eukaryota; Metazoa; Chordata; Mammalia; Artiodactyla; Balaenopteridae
Description: tRNA-Leu
Rfam family: tRNA
About the family: Transfer RNA (tRNA) molecules are approximately 80 nucleotides in length. Their secondary structure includes four short double-helical elements and three loops (D, anti-codon, and T loops).
Source: RNAcentral